UGGGGAAUUUUGGACAAUGGGGGAAACCCUGAUCCAGCCAUCCCGCGUGUGCGUUGAAGGCCUUCGGGUUGUAAAGCACUUUUGUCUGGAAAGAAACGCCAUUGGUUAAUAUCCCGUGAAACUGACGGUAUCUGCAGAAUAAGCACCGGCUAACUAUGUGCCCGCAGCCGCGGUAAUACGUAGGGUGCAAGCGCUAAUCGGAAUUACUGGGCGUAAAGCGCGCGCAGGCGGUUCGGAAAGAAAGAUGUGAAAUCCCAGAGCUAAACUUUGGAACUGCAUUUUUAACUACCGGGCUAGAGUGUGUCAGAGGGAGGUGGAAUUCCGCGUGUAGCAGUGAAAUGCGUAGAUAUGCGGAGGAACACCGAUGGCGAAGGCAGCCUCCUGGGAUAACACUGACGCUCAUGCACGAAAGCGUGGGGAGCAAACAGG
RNAcentral lists this ribosomal RNA (429 nucleotides) under Acidobacteriota bacterium. RNAcentral describes it as "Acidobacteria bacterium partial 16S ribosomal RNA". It matches the Rfam family "Bacterial small subunit ribosomal RNA", at positions 355 to 776 of the family's 1533-position model. Lineage: Bacteria; Pseudomonadati; Acidobacteriota. The record is from RNAcentral.